Molecule: ribosomal RNA, 773 nt
Filed under: uncultured Neocallimastigales
Lineage: Eukaryota; Fungi; Neocallimastigomycota; Neocallimastigomycetes; Neocallimastigales
Description: partial large subunit ribosomal RNA
Rfam family: Eukaryotic large subunit ribosomal RNA
Source: RNAcentral
AUAUCAGUCAUGCAUAGCAUAUCAAUAAGCGGAGGAAAAGAAACUAACAAGGAUUCCCUUAGUAACGGCGAGUGAAGCGGGAAGAGCUCAAAUUUGAAAUCUUCAAGGUUUUACCUUGACGAAUUGUAGUUUAAAGAAGUGUUUUCUGUUGAAGUUUUGGUAAAAGUUCUUUGGAAUAGGACAUCAUAGAGGGUGAGAAUCCCGUAUUUGACCAUUACUUUCAGCUUUGUGAUACACUUUCAAAGAGUCGGAUUGUUUGGGAAUGCAGUCCAAAAUGGGUGGUAAAUUUCAUCUAAAGCUAAAUAUUGGCGAGAGACCGAUAGCGAACAAGUACCGUGAGGGAAAGAUGAAAAGAACUUUGAAAAGAGAGUUAAACAGUACGUGAAAUUGUCAAAAGGGAAGCGUUUGACACCAGUGUUGUUUCUCGAAAAUCAAUUAAAAAGAGUUGGAUUUUGUGUUGUAUUGACUUUAUCAGCUUUCUUCACUCUUUUCCAGCUUUUUUUAAUGCACUUUUCGUUUAACAAGUCAACAUCAGUUUCUUUUGUUGUAAAAAGGUCAUUGGAAGGUGGCUUUCUCUUCGGAGAAAGUGUUUAUAGCCUUUGACUCAUGCAAUCGGAGAGACUGAGGUCUGCAGCGUAGAUCCUUCGGGGUUAGAUACAUUUGUGCUAAGUUAUAGCUUUUCAUAGACAACUUGUUGACUAUGUUUAGUCUUGUAGCUUACUCGCUUAUGCUAUUUUACCUACGCUUAGGAUGUUGAACUCUAUCACACACAG